RNAcentral lists this ribosomal RNA (771 nucleotides) under uncultured deep-sea bacterium. RNAcentral's name for it is "bacterial SSU rRNA". It matches the Rfam family "Bacterial small subunit ribosomal RNA", at positions 737 to 1498 of the family's 1533-position model. The record is from RNAcentral.
UUCCUGACGCUGAGGAGCGAAAGCUAGGGCAGCAAACAGGAUUAGAUACCCUGGUAGUCCUAGCCGUAAACGAUGGGCACUACGUAGAGGGGGCUCCGAUGUCUUCUCUGCGGGAGCUAACGCAUUAAGUGCCCCGCCUGGGGAGUAUGACCGCAAGGUUAAAACUCAAAGGAAUUGACGGGGGCUCACACAAGCGGUGGAGGAUGUUGUUCAAUUCGAAGCAACGCGAAGAACCUUACCCGGGCUUGACAGCCUGGUAGUACGAACCCGAAAGGAUUAGGAGCUUCAGCAAUGGAGCAGCCAGGUACAGGUGUUGCAUGGCUGUCGUCAGCUCGUGUCGUGAGAUGUCGGGUUAAGUCCCAUAACGAGCGAAACCCUUGUCGCUAGUUGCCAGCGGGUUAUGCCGGGGACUCUAGCGAGACUGCCGGUGUUAAGCCGGAGGAAGGUGGGGAUGACGUCAAGUCCUCAUGGCCCUUAUGCCCGGGGCUACAAACGUCCUACAAUGGUCGGUACAAAGAGAAGCAAUACCGUGAGGUGGAGCAAAUCUCAAAAGCCGGCCCCAGUUCGGAUUGAGGGCUGCAAUUCGCCCUCAUGAAGCCGGAAUCGCUAGUAAUCGCGCAUCAGCCACGGCGCGGUGAAUAUGUUCCUGAGCCUUGUACACACCGCCCGUCAAGCCACGAGAGUCGGUAGUACCCGAAGUCGCUGACCCAACCGCAAGGAGGGAGGCGCCGAAGGUAAGACCGAUGAUUGGGACUAAGUCGUAACAAGGUA